GCGCACCAGGCGCGAAUUUUUCACAAUGGGGGAAACCCUGAUGGAGCGACGCCGCGUGGAGGAUGAAGGCGUUUUCGUCGUAAACUCCUGUCAAACGGGAACAAGAAAGUGAUAGUACCGUUAGAGGAAGAGACGGCUAACUCUGUGCCAGCGGCCGCGGUAAUACAGAGGUCUCAAGCGUUGUUCGGAUUCAUUGGGCGUAAAGGGUGCGUAGGUGGCUUGGUAAGUUGAAGGUGAAAUCUCGGGGCUUAACUCCGAAACUGCCUUCAAUACUGCUGAGCUCGAGGAUUGUAGAGGAGAAUGGAAUUCACGGUGUAGCAGUGAAAUGCGUAGAUAUCGUGAGGAAGACCAGUGGCGAAGGCGAUUCUCUGGGCAAUUCCUGACACUGAGGCGCGAAGGCCAGGGAAGCAAACGGGAUUAGAUACCCGCGUAGU
Molecule: ribosomal RNA, 434 nt
Filed under: uncultured organism
Description: bacterial SSU rRNA
Rfam family: Bacterial small subunit ribosomal RNA
Source: RNAcentral